Sander lucioperca (pikeperch) is the source of this 724-nucleotide long non-coding RNA. RefSeq lists it as uncharacterized. The transcript has 3 exons. Lineage: Eukaryota; Metazoa; Chordata; Actinopteri; Perciformes; Percidae. The record is from RefSeq and is a predicted model, not a curated record.
UUUCUACAAGUGUUAUCCAAACAGGAGGAAUUAGUGCAUUUGUUUGGGACUAUUUUCAGCUGCGGAUGAAUACAUAUUUAGUGUUCUAGUGAGUAAGUAAGUAAAUGAGUAAGUAAAAUGUAUUUAUACAGCGCUUUUCACAGACAGGGUCACAAAGUGCUUUACAAUGUGCAUAGACGAUAAAACAUAGUAGAACAUAGUCUAAGAAUAGAAUAAAGUACAAAUACAACAGAUAGAAUUAUCAAUAAAUAAAAGACAUAGGUUACCCAAAAGCUAGCCUGAACAAGUGAGUCUUCACUUGUCCCUUAAAACAGUCCACAUUCUCAGCAAACCUAAUGCUGGUUGGCAGAGCAUUCCAGAGUCUGGGUGCCAUAGCGGCAAAGGCUCUAUCCCCACAUGGCUUCAGACGAGUGCAUGGCGUGGAUAGCAGAUUUUGGUUAAUAGACCUGAGAGACCAGGAGGGGGGUGUGUAGGUGAAUUAUGUUGGCAAGAUGUGCGUCGAUCUCUUUAAGAGUAUUCUCUUAAAGAGAUCGACGUGUGUGUGUGCGUAAGGACUGGCUGGUAGAGUGAGUGACGGAGAUUAGCUUCGGAGCUAGUAGAGAGGCAUAGUGGGAGAAACAAAGUGUCUCCCCUGUGCUUUUCUGACCAUGGUGAGAAAUCUUUGGUCUUUGGUGUUUUUUGCCCCCAACGUCUCCUCCCAGGCAGCGCGGCAAUGGUUAUGUUU